This 253-nucleotide ribosomal RNA is filed under the name uncultured bacterium. RNAcentral's name for it is "partial 16S ribosomal RNA". It matches the Rfam family "Bacterial small subunit ribosomal RNA", at positions 524 to 776 of the family's 1533-position model. The record is from RNAcentral.
UACAGAGGUCCCAAGCGUUGUUCGGAUUCACUGGGCGUAAAGGGUGCGUAGGUGGUGAGGUAAGUCGGAUGUGAAAUCUCCGGGCUCAACCCGGAAAUGGCAUUGGAAACUACCUUGCUGGAGGAUUUGAGGGGGGAUUGGAAUACUUGGUGUAGCAGUGAAAUGCGUAGAUAUCAUGAGGAAGACCAGUGGCGAAGGCGGAUCUCUGGACAGUUCCUGACACUGAGGCACGAAGGCCAGGGGAGCAAACGGG